This is a long non-coding RNA of Venturia canescens, 1128 nucleotides long. RefSeq lists it as uncharacterized. Lineage: Eukaryota; Metazoa; Arthropoda; Insecta; Hymenoptera; Ichneumonidae. The transcript is spliced from 3 exons. The record is from RefSeq and is a predicted model, not a curated record.
AACGCGAAAUAAACGUCGAGCUUCCGUUGCCAAUUCUCGUCAAGGUUCAUCAUCGUUUUGUUCUUCUAUAUAUGUGCGCGCGCGACAAUAGGAAAGAAAAAGAGAUAUAGAGCAAGAAUGAGAAACCGAGAAAUACUUGAAUAUAAGAAGAUAAAAUUGGUCUCUUGAUUAUUCCUUGGGUCUUUAAAGCACUAGCAACCACGCGCGUUUUGAUUCCUUCCGAGAUUAAACGAGACUGUCGCGUUCGACUUUUUUAUUGACGCAGCUUUUAUACCUAUAUCCACAUUAUACGCGGUGCUUAUACAAAUAUCUUACUAUACAUAUAAACCCCGCGUAUAUACGGGGAGGAGGUUAAUCAAUAAGUGGACCAACCGGUAAAGCAAACAGAGGGAUCAAAUUUUAGAAUAUCAUACCAGUGUACGUGCAUCCAAAACUUUGUAGAUUUGAUUCAAAAUUGACAUAAAACAAAAAACAAAAGCAUCAAUUUAAAAACCGAUCAAAGCCUCGCCCGAAGUGAAACUAUGUUAUUAUUGCAACAUAUCUUGGACGUGAACGUUAAGAAUUUUCAAAAUUUAAGCUCGAGCACGUCUUAUACGCCCUUUCAAUCUGACAUGAAGAUACCGAGUCUCUUGAUAGGAAGAAUGAAACUUACCAUCGUAAUCUACCGAACCAUCACCCUUGAUAGGGGGUUGAGGCGGUAGCUUCUUAUUAUCACUUGGACCAGGAGUUUCUGUCGGUGUCUGCAAUCUUUCUGCAUCUCGUCGUCUACUGGAACAUUGUGUAAAAUAAUUCUGACCGCCCAAAGGCGUUGACGGCUCGUCCGCUGCGUCGUAAUAAUCUUCAUCUUCGUCGGACGAUGAGUACGAGAAUUCCGGAACCGGCAAAUCGCGAUCUACGACUGAAACAUUAUUUUUAUAUGAAAUUAUUAUUUUAUGAAUUUUUUCAUAAAACUGACUCGUUUCUUCUGACAUUGUGCCACUUUUUGCAAAAAAUGUUAACCAACCAGCUGAUAGGGAUAAGGAAUUGAUGCGAGGUUCGAGGCACUCGGAGCCCAAUUCGAUGCCAGUCUGUACCGUUAAUUCCGAUUCUCUUGAGGCUACUGUUAAAUAAACGAAAUUUUUAGUAUUA